RNAcentral lists this transfer RNA (72 nucleotides) under Ictidomys tridecemlineatus (thirteen-lined ground squirrel). RNAcentral's name for it is "Spermophilus tridecemlineatus (thirteen-lined ground squirrel) tRNA". It matches the Rfam family "tRNA". Rfam says of the family: Transfer RNA (tRNA) molecules are approximately 80 nucleotides in length. Their secondary structure includes four short double-helical elements and three loops (D, anti-codon, and T loops). Further hydrogen bonds mediate the characteristic L-shaped molecular structure. tRNAs have two regions of fundamental functional importance: the anti-codon, which is responsible for specific mRNA codon recognition, and the 3' end, to which the tRNAs corresponding amino acid is attached (by aminoacyl-tRNA synthetases). tRNAs cope with the degeneracy of the genetic code in two manners: having more than one tRNA (with a specific anti-codon) for a particular amino acid; and 'wobble' base-pairing, i.e. permitting non-standard base-pairing at the 3rd anti-codon position. The record is from Rfam by way of RNAcentral. Lineage: Eukaryota; Metazoa; Chordata; Mammalia; Rodentia; Sciuridae.
UGGGGUGUAGCGCAGUAGUAGAGCAGCUGCCUAACAUGCACGCGACCCUGAGUUCAAUUCCCAGCACCACAA